This is a long non-coding RNA of Hemicordylus capensis (graceful crag lizard), 3590 nucleotides long. RefSeq lists it as uncharacterized. The transcript has 3 exons. NCBI's taxonomy places the organism in Eukaryota, Metazoa, Chordata, Lepidosauria, Squamata, Cordylidae. The record is from RefSeq and is a predicted model, not a curated record.
UCAGAGGAGAACUGCCAGUGUACUGAUGGCUGUCUUUCUGCUGUGCGUGCAAUGUAUGCUGGAAUAUCUUUGGAGAACCCAGCUUUGUUUUCCUAUACUAGAGAGCCCAGCUCCUCAGACUACUGCAGGAUUUAAAGGUAAUUUUCCAGUUUACAGUAAUUUUCCAGUUUAUCUGUUCUCUCAAGAGAAAAAGGUAUUCUUCCUCCAAGGUAAGUAAAAAUACACAUUUGUCUUGCAUGGAACAUACUUGUGCAAAUAACUGGAUGGGGGGGGGGCAAUCUUUAUUUGCAGGAAAUGGUUUCACUUGAAAAAUGUAAAGCAAUUCAUGGUUUCCUACAAGCUUAAGAAAACAACAAACUUAUAACAAAAGUCUGGUGUGAAGUAAGGAACAUCAAAAUUGUUGCUUUGCUUCAGGACGUGUGCACACUAUUACCAGUGUGGAAAUAGACCCUUAAGAAGUAAGUCCUUUACUGCUAUUGAAAGUGGCUACCUGGCCUCUUUCAAUAAUUAAACCUGUCAUUGAAACACCUAUGAUGGUUAAACAUCUAUUUGAUCAUGUUGGUGUCUUUGGGGUGGUUUUUUCAGAUUAAAAGGGAAUUUUUUAAAGUUAAAAAAAGUUGUCCAUCCAUUCUAUAAAGAUAUUUUUGUAAUAAGUGGUUACUCUUACAUAAGUAGCUGACCGUAAAAUACUAUAUUUUAAAACAGUGUAUGAUCUAUAAAACCAGUCCAUGUUUCUUGCAACGACAAGUAGAGUUAUCAGGAAUACAAGCAGCACAGGACUUGCAUUGCUUUAUCUCACCCAGAAGAAACAGCACAAGGCGGGUGAGAAGUAAGUAAGUCCUGAGACUUAUGCAGUGGUAUUGUACGUAAUGAAUUGUUUUUGCCAUUCAUGAUAUUUGAACAAGACUAAGCUUUUCUCUAGUUUUUCUUUCAGAUGGAGUGAAACAAAAUGUGGAUUUGGACACAUCUGUAAAUCCAGAGCCAACUAGAUGAGCAGCUAAUAAAGAGGAAAUAUGUAGCAAGAGAAUGAAUGUGCAUUCAGAUAAUUAAUGCACAUCCCUGCUGUCUCUGCAUGGUGAUUUUCCAAGAAGUUCAGCAAUACAGUCUGCAGGACACCAGUCAGCCACUGAAGGGAGAAGGCGGAUGAGGGAGCACUUGCUUAUGGUCCUUGCUUACAUGCCCAGGAUAGUACUAUCAAUUUUGUGUUGGGAAGGAAUUUUUCUCCAGGGUAGAUUGGCCAAGGUCCUGGAGGUGUUUUGAGUUCUCUGGGGGUCAUUUGCUGGGGUCAUUUGAGAACAUAAGAACAGCCCUGCUGGAUCAGGCCCAAGGCCCAUCUAGUCCAGCAUCCUGUUUCACACAGUGGCCCACCAGAUGCCACUGGAAGCCUACAGGCAGGAGCUGAGGGCAUGCCCUCUCUCCUGUUGUUACUCCCCUGCAACUGAUAUUCAGAGGCAUCCUUCCUCUGAGGCUGGAGGUGGCCUAUAGCCCUCCGACUAGUAGCUGUGGAUAGACUUCUCCAUGAAGUUAUUCAAACCCCUCUUAAAGCCAUCCAGACUAGUAGCCAACACCACAUCUCGUGGCAGAGAAUUCCACAAUUUGAUUAUGUGUUGUGUGAAAAAGUACUUCUGUUUGUUGGACCUAAAUUUCUUGGCAAUCAAUUUCAUGGAAUGACCCCUGGUUCUAGUGUUGUGUGUGAGAGAGAAAUUCUCUCUAUCCACUUUCUCUACACCGGGGAUUCUCAACAUUGGGUCCCCAGAUGUUAUUGGACUUCAACUCCCAUAAUCCCCAACCAAAGGCCACUGGGGCUGGGGAUUAUGAGAGUUGAAGUCCAAUAACAUCUGGGGACCUAAUGUUGCGAAUCCCUGCUCUGCACCAUUCAUGAUUCUAUAGACCUCUAUCAUGUCUCCCCGCAGACGUCUUUUUUCUAAACUAAAUAGGCCCAGGUGUUUUAGCCUUGCCUCAUAAGAAAGGUGCUCUAGGCCCUUGAUCAUCUUGGUUGCCCUCUUCUGUACCUUUUCCAGUUCUACAAUGUCCUUUUUUAGAUGCGGUGACCAGAAUUGUACGCAGUACCCCAAGUGUGGCCGCACCAUAGUUUUGUAUAAGGGCAUUAUAAUAUUAGCAGUUUUAUUUUCAAUCCCCUUCCGAAUGAUCCCUAGCAUGGAAUUGGCCUUUUUCACAGCUGCCACACAUUGAUUCGACACUUUCAAUGAGCUGUCCAAGAUCCCUCUCCUGAUUAGUCACCAACAGCUCAGAUCCCAUCAGCAUAUCCUUGAACCUGGGGUUUUUCAUCCCAAUGUGCAUCACUUUAUAUUUGCCAAUACUGAACUGCAUUUGCCAUUUUGUUGCCCACUCACCCACUUUGGAGAGAUCCUUUUGGAGCUCCUCACAAUCUGUUUUGGAUUUCACGACCCUAAAUAGUUUGGUAUCAUCUGCAAAUCUGGCCACUUCACUGCUUACCCCAACUUCUAGAUCAUUUAUGAAUAAAUUAAAACAGCACCGGUCCCAGUAUAGAUCCCUGGGAGACCCCACUUCUUACUUCCCUCCAUUGUGAAAACUCUCCAUUUAUACCUACCCUCUGUUUCUUGUCCUUCAACCAGUUACCAGUCCACACAUGUACUUGUUCCCUUAUGACUGCUAGGUUUUCUCAAGAGUCUUUGAUGAGGAACUUUGUUGGAAGCUUUUUGGAAGUCCGGGAAUACUAUGUCAACUGGAUCACCUUGACACACACACUUGUUUACACUCUCAAAGAACUCCAAAAGGAAGAAAAGCAGAUGGAGAAACAAUCUGGAAGAAUCAGACAUCCAAGCUCUAAGAACCCCUGCUACAAUACAGUUUGAAGCUCUCCUCCCGUAGCCGUAUUUGGGGCUAUUGCUCAUAUGCACUCACCUCGUUUGCCCCUCACCUACAGCAGACUUGGGCUGAGAGUGUGACCCUUCUCCCCACUCCCCCCACCCCAUGACAGCAACAAAAUAUGCUCCAGCCACUUUUUGUUGAUUACAUCUCUCUCCAUUAACGAGAAAAGUCCUCACCUUAAAGGCUAAGUCUUUCCUAGGAUGACAGAUGCCUCACUGCUGACAGUUUUUACUGCAAGUAUCAGGAAAUAUAGAAAAUGGAGGAGGAAUUACAUAAUAUUUCAUCACCCAAUAUGAAAGAUGAAAGGAUUAACACUCUUCACCACAAUCUAGGUGUCAACCUACACAUACAACUUAAACACACCCCUACUUUCCUAAAAGAAUCCUCAGCUCCCCCACUUGAUUAGGCCAUACGCCUCAGCAAUCUCUCCUCAGUUCAGGGGCAUAACUAUAAUAGGGCAAGGGGAGACAGUUGCCUGGGGCCCACUGCCUUGGGGGGGCCCCCUCCAGAGGCAAGUCACAUGACUGACUCACCCAGCUGCGCACCCGCCCGGGCUUCCUUCAGUUGUAUUCAUCCUCCGAAAUUGAUGUGAGUGUUAAGACCUGGAGCUACCAGAACAGCAUGUCUUUCUCUAGUACCAUGAAAUGACUUGCAUCGUCCACGAUUUACAAAACCUUUUAAAAAAUAAUUUAGGAUGAUGUUCUAUUGUGGCACAAUAUAUAUAAAUAAAAUAUGUA